AGGAAGCUGUGGGUCCAUGUAGCCAAAGCUUCUGUCGGAUGCUUGAACCCUUAUGUCCCUCACCAAAAUCUCCCAGCUUUGCUUCGGGGUCUUCACGCUGGUGCUGCAAAACUGACUGUUGUCCAUGCCUCGCCGCUCCCGGGCCCCCCUGAUUCAUCACCUUUAUUUCCUGGCACUUUGGAUGUGACGGCGGGUUGACCAGAAAUGCUCGCUUCGUGUCUGGGAUGAACGGAGGACUCCAUUCAGAACCCUGACCGGGACCACAGCUGCCUCGGGAUCGCACCCCUCUGCCUUUACGUCGUCGUCGCCUUGCUCCUCGGAGCAGGACCUGGGGGUCCCAGCGGCAUCCAACUGGUCUCUGCUCUCAGGGACUCAACGCCAUGGUCGAAGUAAGCACAGGUGUCAGGCUGGGGACAGCCCGAUCACGGACCAGGUGCCCUGGGGAGCCCCGUCCUUGGCAUGGAGGCCGUGCUUGCUCAGUGGUCCCCACGCCCUCCCUCGAAUGCCGGAAAUGGGAUGUUAUCCUUUUUCACUGCCUCCCCCAAGUGUGGGUUUGUUUGGGGCUGGCUCUGUCCUGUCAGCCCCGCCAGACUCCAUCAGGCGGGCAUCCCCGGGCCGCUGCAGGGUCCUGUCCUCCGGGUGCAGCCGUGGAUAUGAGCGUCCUGAAGACCUGCGCUAUCUUGUCUGCGUGACACUGGUUGUCAGAUGCUUAACUGAGUGAGCCCCCAGAGAUAAAUUCUAAGUGUCUCAGCUCCCACCCUUUAAUUCCAUCUCCCGGCGCCUUGGCGCUCCUGGCCUGUGCUUUGCGCUUGCGGAAUUCCUCUCGGUGACCCUGUGUUCUCCUUGCCCGACGUAGCACACCUGCUCAGGGUCACACGGCCUCGUGUCCUUCCUGUGCCCACUGACCUCACCCUGAAGGAGAGACACGCUCAGCAUCGGCACCGGGAGUGGGUCCCCCGGACCCACGCCACAGGACGCGAGCGGCUGUGGGGGCCGUCUGCCUGCGGGUGGGCUUCACAGGCGCUCGCCGCCCCUGUGUGUGGAGCAGCUGAGUGUCCGUUCUUCGGUGUGGAGCUGCCCCCUGCGUCUACGGACACGCAUGAGCGAGAAUUUGCAUAUUCCUUUUGCUAAAGAGAUCUUGAAAACCGAAUAAGAGAUGAGAAGACUUCACUGGGUGAAUUAUUUGAAAAGUCAACAUGAAGUUAGGGAAGUUUUUCCAGAAUUAAAGAAUGAUUUCAGGGUUCCAAAAUGAACUGAAGAUUCAGUUGACUUUGUUCAAGACAGAGGGUUUUCAAUGUGAGGAAAUGUAAGGGUCAUCUUAAGGUGUGACCGAGCAGCCAUUUCUCUGGGGGCUGGAGGAG
Long non-coding RNA from Suricata suricatta (meerkat), 1361 nucleotides. RefSeq lists it as uncharacterized. NCBI's taxonomy places the organism in Eukaryota, Metazoa, Chordata, Mammalia, Carnivora, Herpestidae. The transcript has 3 exons. The record is from RefSeq and is a predicted model, not a curated record.